UGUAUAAUGCACCUGUCAAUUGUAGAGCCAAGCUGGGAGCUGCCUAAAAAUCAGUUACCCAGUUAGCUCAGUUUGACAGAUCUCCAUGCAAGUGUUCACAUGGUCGUGGGUUCAAGCACCAUACCAGUAGCAUCUUUUCUCAAAGGUUUACUUUAGAACCCAUCAUCCAGGAGUAAACAAUUAUGAUUUUUUUUAUUAAAUAUUACAGGCCAUGUUCUUUUGUAAACUUUCAGAUUGAGAAGUGCCUGGAUACAAGGCUAGUAUUGUUAACAUCAUCUGAUACAAUCAACUGGAACAAAGCUGAAAUGGCUGCCUGACCUGACUUAAAAAUUGGAUGGCAGUACAUCAGACUAGAAGAUUACAAGUAUUGAGGUGGACAAAAUGAAACCUGAGCCUACCAAAGCUGACAGAUUGCACAAGAAACACAUAAAUGCAGAUUGGAAGAUUCAUUCUCUGGAAAGUAGAAAAGGGCAUGUUACAUACUGUUAUCACUGCCAUGACAGAAACCAUAUUGAGGAGCUGGUCCACCUGUAGGAAGAAUUGCGCUAUUGGUUGGAGCAGCACUAUUACCCAGUCAUACACCAGCACUUAGUUUGUCAUAGGGAGCAUUUCAGAGCAGUUAUGGAGACCACUAACUAUGCAGUUGUUGCAGUGAAACUUGCACCAGUGUGUUUUCUGUGGAGAUAAAGAGAUAGUGUCCAGCAAUGAAGACCCAACUCAAGAUCUGACCUUGUAAGGCCAAUAUGAAAUAACUGUGUGGGAAAAUGGGAAAAACCUGCAGUCAGGAAUGCACGGAAAUCGU
Molecule: long non-coding RNA, 802 nt
Organism: Mya arenaria
Lineage: Eukaryota; Metazoa; Mollusca; Bivalvia; Myida; Myidae
Exons: 3
Source: RefSeq, a predicted model, not a curated record